RNAcentral lists this ribosomal RNA (503 nucleotides) under uncultured bacterium. RNAcentral's name for it is "bacterial SSU rRNA". It matches the Rfam family "Bacterial small subunit ribosomal RNA", at positions 28 to 495 of the family's 1533-position model. The record is from RNAcentral.
GAUGAACGCUGGCGGCGUGCCUAAUACAUGCAAGUCGAACGAGUUCUGAUUAUUGAAAGGUGCUUGCAUCUUGAUUUAAUUUUGAACGAGUGGCGGACGGGUGAGUAACACGUGGGUAACCUGCCCUUAAGUGGGUGAUAACAUUUGGAAACAGAUGCUAAUACCGCAUAAAUCCAAGAACCGCAUGGUUCUUGGCUGAAAGAUGGCGUAAGCUAUCGCUUUUGGAUGGACCCGCGGCGUAUUAGCUAGUUGGUGAGGUAACGGCUCACCAAGGCAAUGAUACGUAGCCGAACUGAGAGGUUGAUCGGCCACAUUGGGACUGAGACACGGCCCAAACUCCUACGGGAGGCAGCAGUAGGGAAUCUUCCACAAUGGACGCAAGUCUGAUGGAGCAACGCCGCGUGAGUGAAGAAGGCUUUCGGGUCGUAAAACUCUGUUGUUGGAGAAGAAUGGUCGGCAGAGUAACUGUUGUCGGCGUGACGGUAUCCAACCAGAAAGCCACG